This 210-nucleotide long non-coding RNA is filed under the name Trifolium pratense (red clover). RNAcentral's name for it is "long non-coding RNA (TPRA_LNC006319)". The record is from RNAcentral. Lineage: Eukaryota; Viridiplantae; Streptophyta; Magnoliopsida; Fabales; Fabaceae.
ACUUUUCAUAGCAUUAUGCAUGUAGUUGCUGGUUUAUACUUAAGAAUUGUGAUCUGUUAUAGAUAUAUUGAGGUCUUAGGAGCACUUGUAGAUAAGACAUUAAACACAUCUCUUGGGUCUGGUUUUUAUGUAAGGCAGGAAUUAGUCUAUCUUGACUCAUAUCAAAGUCCCUUGCUAGGUUGGUGUUAUUAUGAUUACUUAUCACUAAUG